This is a long non-coding RNA of Glycine soja, 2181 nucleotides long. RefSeq lists it as uncharacterized. The transcript is spliced from 2 exons. NCBI's taxonomy places the organism in Eukaryota, Viridiplantae, Streptophyta, Magnoliopsida, Fabales, Fabaceae. The record is from RefSeq and is a predicted model, not a curated record.
GGGUUCGUUUCUUUCUCUCAUUCAGCGCCUCCGCGGCUUCAACCUUGUAGUUAUUCUCUUUCUUCUUUUUUAGCCACCCCUCUCUUGAAAAAUCUAGAUCUCGUUCUUCCUUGAUCUACGUUACGCUUUUAGUGACCGGAUCUGUAUGGAUCUGAACCAGAUCUACACGCCGAUGGUGGUUUUGGCCUGGUCUUUCAUAGAUCUGAUGCAUGGAGGCUCAGAUCUACUGUACAGAGGUGUGCGAUUCAUGUUCGUCUCUCUUUUGGAAUCUGUUUCGUAGAAAGUCGUUUGGUCUUCCAUGUCGCAUGGCUCUUGAGGUAUUUUUUUUUGCAGAUACUGUAGAUAAUCGAUGAGAAGAACGCAGAUCCAGCCGCUUCCGCUUGUUCGAUCACUACAGACGCUUGUAUCGGAUUAUUCAUGAUUGAUUCAUAAGCAGCAUGUCUUCCUCCGGCUAUAGUUGUUGCAGAUCUCGGAUGUUGUAAAAUUAGUGUAUGAUGUGAAGCUAUGGGCUGGAAAAUGUGGAUGUAGGAGAUUUCGGGACGAAAGGCCUCAAAACGCUUCGUCGUUUGUGGUUACUGAGUCCUGAGUGAUCUUGUCAUCCGACCUUUGCCAUGACAGGUGCGCUUGCUUGGCAGGUCAAAAUAUGUUAAUAAAAAAAGUUUUAUUGGUUUAGGGAGAGAUCGCACGGGAGUUGCCCGGGGUCUCUCUCUCGUGUGGUGUGUGGUGUUUGCUGUGCUCUCCUUUUCGUUAUGCCUUUUAUUAUUACCUAUCUGUCGCUCCACUCCGUAUUACGACUCUGGAUCAGAGGGAUACAUCAGAGGAUUCGCUCCAACUCCUAUCGAAUAAGGUAUUAUCUGUCAAUUUACAUUGGAAAGGGUUAGGAUAUUGAAUUUUACAUAAUUAAAGAUAAAAUCAACGAUAGCUAUAGUUUUAAAAUUAACCAUCGAUUUAGUUGCAACUGGAACACAGGUUUCUUUCAAUGAAAUAAUAUUAAUAUCAAUUUAAUAAGCUGGUAAUGUAAAAUACUGCUAAUGUUAAUAUGAAGUUUGGAUGGUCUUAUUGGCAGAAGAUGCUAGGUGGUGUUCAUCAAUAUUCUGAAAGGUAAAACGAUUUUGGUUUUUAAUGAUAAUAUAACCAUGAAUCUAACAUCAGACAUUGAACGCUACACAUCAAAAAUAAAUCGAGCCAACGCAUUUAAUUGUAAGUGUCUUCAUAUUACCUGUGUUCUGUGACAUCUUUUUGCAUAAUUUUGGCACUAAGUCUUUUUUGAUAGAAAUUGUGAAGAUGUACUGUUAUCAUUGUAUCAACUAUAUUGUGCCCUUCUUUUUUUACUUGAUUUGGCAAACACGGCUACUUUUCUCCAAAUAAGAUGGAUCAUUUGUAUUGCCGGCUUUGUGCACAAUUAUCUACUUGUAAGAUGUCCAAUUUCGGGCAACAACAUUUGUAAUGCAGAAAUAGGUCAUUAGCAUUGUAAAUCUCCAGGCGAUAAAUGGAAUAUCAAAUGGAAGACGCCGCAUAGCUUCUGGUGUGACAAUAUCAUUGUGUUGGGCAAAGCAUUUUCGAAGAAAUAUCGUGGAUUUAGGAAGAUUCUGAUUAUUCUUCUACAUCUACAAUUAUUAAGGUGAAGAUAAUUUCGGCUCUUUACAAGUAAAGAAUGAAAUUUUCAUAUGGUAGAUUUAGUUGAUCAGUAUAAUUAUUGUUUUAAUUUAAUUCCUUGAAUUAUUUUAAUUAUUGUUCUUCGACACUUUAUUCAGUAUAUUAUUAAUUUUUUUAGAACCAGAAUUAGUUUAUUGCACUAUGGUUAGUUUUUUUGGUCAUUCACAUUUGUACAUUUAUUCGGUAUACAUUAAUUUAUCAUUAUACAUUAAUACAAAGGGAUUUUUAGAAGUUGGUUUUUCCCUUGCUGGAAAUUCUUAUUGAGAACCCCAGCAAACAGCCAACCCAAAUAUCUUCUAUUUGAACUUCCUAUUUUCAAGGUUUCACUUGUGGUUCGAGUUCAAUUUGCAAUUCAAUUGAUAGUUUCUGUUAUCUGCUAUUGAGGAUGACUAACGGAUUUAUAAUACAGGAAGUUUAGACGUGGUUCAGCGAACACAUUAAAAAAAUCGUGUUUUUAUUUUAUAUUUAUACUGUAUCUACAGUUUUUAUGUAUUUCAGAAAUUCAGUAUACGUAGUUUUUUAUUA